Non-coding RNA from Camelina sativa (false flax), 338 nucleotides. The record is from RefSeq and is a predicted model, not a curated record. Lineage: Eukaryota; Viridiplantae; Streptophyta; Magnoliopsida; Brassicales; Brassicaceae.
CCGUCUUCAUCCUCCUCCAGUCCUCCUGGGCAUAAGCGAUUUUGUUUAGUGGCGCCCGACCAGAGUAGUUAAACCCUAGUCCAGACUCUCAAGGGACUCACCGAUUAGUCUUCUAAUGCUGCGUAUACUUAUUCUUCUUCUUCGUCGUUAGAACAUGAAUUGUGCAAUUUCCGGCGAAGUUCCGGAGGAGCCUUUGGUUUCGCAUAUAUCGAUUGCUUCUGAUACUUUGUAGGAUUAUGGGAAAUGCCCUGUUACUCGUGAACCACAUACCCUUGAUGACAUUGUUCACAUCAAAUUAAUUAUUUCUCACACUCACAGAGCACUGUUUUCAUCGUGAU